UGGGGAAUCUUGCACAAUGGGGGCAACCCUGAUGCAGCGACGCCGCGUGAGCGAUGAAGCCCUUCGGGGCGUAAAGCUCUUUCGACCGGAACGAUAAUGACGGUACCGGGAGAAGAAGCUGCGGCUAACUACGUGCCAGCAGCCGCGGUAAUACGUAGGCAGCAAGCGUUGUUCGGAGUUACUGGGCGUAAAGAGUGCGUAGGCGGUUUUCUAAGUUCGGUGUGAAAUCUCCCGGCUUAACUGGGAGGGUGCGCCGAAGACUGGGAAGCUGGAGUGUGGGAAAGGCAGGCGGAAUUCCUGGUGUAGUGGUGAAAUACGUAGAUAUCUGGAAGAACACCAGUUGCGAAGGCGGUCUCUUGGUCCGACACUGACACUGAGGCGCGAAAGCGUGGGGAGCAAACA
Molecule: ribosomal RNA, 402 nt
Filed under: uncultured bacterium
Lineage: Bacteria
Description: bacterial SSU rRNA
Rfam family: Bacterial small subunit ribosomal RNA
Source: RNAcentral